Molecule: ribosomal RNA, 570 nt
Filed under: uncultured bacterium
Lineage: Bacteria
Description: bacterial SSU rRNA
Rfam family: Bacterial small subunit ribosomal RNA
Source: RNAcentral
GAUUAGUGGCGCACGGGUGAGUAAUAUAUAGGUAACGUGCCUCUUAGUCUGGGAUAGCCAUUGGAAACGAUGAUUAAUACUAGAUACUCCUUCUAACUCUAAUGUUAGUCGGGAAAGUUUUUCGCUAAGAGAUCGGCCUAUUUCCCAUCAGGUAGUUGGUAGUGUAAGAGACUACCAAGCCUAUGACGGGUAGCGGGUUUGAGAGGAUGAUCCGCCACACUGGUACUGAGACACGGACCAGACUCCUACGGGAGGCAGCAGUGAGGAAUAUUGCACAAUGGAGGAAACUCUGAUGCAGCAACGCCGCGUGGAGGAUGACGCAUUUCGGUGUGUAAACUCCUUUUAUGAGUCAAGAAAAUGACGGUAGCUCAUGAAUAAGCACCGGCUAACUCCGUGCCAGCAGCCGCGGUAAUACGGAGGGUGCAAGCGUUAUUCGGAAUCACUGGGCGUAAAGGACGCGUAGGCGGGAUGCCAAGUCUGAUGUGAAAUCCUAUGGCUUAACCAUAGAACUGCAUUGGAAACUGGUAACCUAGAGUAUGGGAGGGGGAGAUGGAAUUAGUGGUGUAGGGG